This 511-nucleotide ribosomal RNA is filed under the name uncultured Flavobacteriaceae bacterium. RNAcentral's name for it is "bacterial SSU rRNA". It matches the Rfam family "Bacterial small subunit ribosomal RNA", at positions 8 to 513 of the family's 1533-position model. Lineage: Bacteria; Pseudomonadati; Bacteroidota; Flavobacteriia; Flavobacteriales; Flavobacteriaceae. The record is from RNAcentral.
AGGGUUUGAUUAUGGCUCAGGAUGAACGCUAGCGGCAGGCUUAACACAUGCAAGUCGAGGGGUAACAGGAGUAGCUUGCUACUUCGCUGACGACCGGCGCACGGGUGCGUAACGCGUAUAGAAUCUACCUUGUACUAGGGGAUAGCCUUUGGAAACGAAGAUUAAUACCCUAUAGUAAGUAUUUAUGGCAUCAUUUAUACUUUAAAGGUUACGGUACAAGAUGACUAUGCGUCCUAUUAGUUUGUUGGUAAGGUAACGGCUUACCAAGACUUCGAUAGGUAGGGGCCCUGAGAGGGGGAUCCCCCACACUGGUACUGAGACACGGACCAGACUCCUACGGGAGGCAGCAGUGAGGAAUAUUGGACAAUGGAGGCAACUCUGAUCCAGCCAUGCCGCGUGCAGGAUGACGGCCCUAUGGGUUGUAAACUGCUUUUAUGUAGGAAGAAACACUCUCACGUGUGAGAGCUUGACGGUACUACAAGAAUAAGGACCGGCUAACUCCGUGCCAGCC